Molecule: ribosomal RNA, 549 nt
Filed under: uncultured bacterium
Lineage: Bacteria
Description: bacterial SSU rRNA
Rfam family: Bacterial small subunit ribosomal RNA
Source: RNAcentral
UAGGGAAUCUUCGGCAAUGGACGGAAGUCUGACCGAGCAACGCCGCGUGAGUGAAGAAGGUUUUCGGAUCGUAAAGCUCUGUUGUAAGAGAAGAACGAGUGUGAGAGUGGAAAGUUCACACUGUGACGGUAUCUUACCAGAAAGGGACGGCUAACUACGUGCCAGCAGCCGCGGUAAUACGUAGGUCCCGAGCGUUGUCCGGAAUUAUUGGGCGUAAAGCGCGCGCAGGUGGUUUAAUAAGUCUGAUGUGAAAGCCCACGGCUCAACCGUGGAGGGUCAUUGGAAACUGUUAAACUUGAGUGCAGGAGAGAAAAGUGGAAUUCCUAGUGUGGCGGUGAAAUGCGUAGAGAUUAGGAGGAACACCAGUGGCGAAGGCGGCUUUUUGGCCUGUAACUGACACUGAGGCGCGAAAGCGUGGGGAGCAAACAGGAUUAGAUACCCUGGUAGUCCACGCCGUAAACGAUGAGUGCUAAGUGUUGGUCUCAUAAGAGAUCAGUGCUGCAGCUAACGCAUUAAGCACUCCGCCUGGGGAGUACGACCGCAAGGUUG